RNAcentral lists this ribosomal RNA (465 nucleotides) under Vreelandella stevensii. RNAcentral's name for it is "partial 16S ribosomal RNA". It matches the Rfam family "Bacterial small subunit ribosomal RNA", at positions 338 to 795 of the family's 1533-position model. Lineage: Bacteria; Pseudomonadati; Pseudomonadota; Gammaproteobacteria; Oceanospirillales; Halomonadaceae. The record is from RNAcentral.
CCUACGGGUGGCAGCAGUGGGGAAUAUUGGACAAUGGGGGGAACCCUGAUCCAGCCAUGCCGCGUGUGUGAAGAAGGCCCUCGGGUUGUAAAGCACUUUCAGUGAGGAAGAACGCCUGGUGGUUAAUACCCAGCAGGAAAGACAUCACUCACAGAAGAAGCACCGGCUAACUCCGUGCCAGCAGCCGCUGUAAUACGGAGGGUGCGAGCGUUAAUCGGAAUUACUGGGCGUAAAGCGCGCGUAGGUGGCUUGAUAAGCCGGUUGUGAAAGCCCCGGGCUCAACCUGGGAACGGCAUCCGGAACUGUCAAGCUAGAGUGCAGGAGAGGAAGGUAGAAUUCCCGGUGUAGCGGUGAAAUGCGUAGAGAUCGGGAGGAAUACCAGUGGCGAAGGCGGCCUUCUGGACUGACACUGACACUGAGGUGCGAAAGCGUGGGUAGCAAACAGGAUUAGAUACCCUGGUAGUC